CAAUCCGGGAACCAGCAGAGGUGCUGCAUGGCUGUCGUCAGCUCGUGUCGUGAGAUGUUGGGUUAAGUCCCGCAACGAGCGCAACCCUUGCCCUUAGUUGCCAGCGGGUAAUGCCGGGCACUCUAAGGGGACUGCCCCGGAUAACGGGGAGGAAGGCGGGGAUGACGUCAAGUCAGCAUGGCCUUUAUGUCCAGGGCUACACACGUGCUACAAUGGGCGGUACAGAGGGAAGCAAAGCCGCGAGGUGGAGCUAAUCCUUAAAGCCGUCCUCAGUUCGGAUCGCAGGCUGCAACUCGCCUGCGUGAAGUCGGAAUCGCUAGUAAUCGCGGAUCAGCUACGCCGCGGUGAAUACGUUCUCGGGCCUU
This 365-nucleotide ribosomal RNA is filed under the name uncultured Aminicenantes bacterium. Its description in RNAcentral is "bacterial SSU rRNA". It matches the Rfam family "Bacterial small subunit ribosomal RNA", at positions 1017 to 1382 of the family's 1533-position model. The record is from RNAcentral. Lineage: Bacteria; Candidatus Aminicenantota.